CACGUAGGGUGCGAGCGUUGUCCGGAAUUACUGGGCGUAAAGCGUGCGCAGGCGGUUCUCCAAGUCCGUUGUGAAAGCCCCGGGCUCAACCUGGGAAUGGCAGUGGAAACUAGGGGACUGGAAUCUGGCAGAGGGGGUGGAAUGCCGCGUGUAGCAGUGAAAUGCGUAGAGAUGCGGCGGAACACCGAUGGCGAAGGCAGCCCCCUGGGCUGAGAUUGACGCUCAGGCACGAAAGCGUGGGGAGCAAACAGG
RNAcentral lists this ribosomal RNA (252 nucleotides) under uncultured bacterium. Its description in RNAcentral is "partial 16S ribosomal RNA". It matches the Rfam family "Bacterial small subunit ribosomal RNA", at positions 524 to 776 of the family's 1533-position model. The record is from RNAcentral.